CAAAGGUAGCGUAAUCACUUGUCUUAUAAAUAAAGACCAGUAUGAAUGGCUAAAUGAAUAUUUAACUGUCUCCUUCAACUAAUCAGUGAAACUGAUCUUUCAGUACAAAAGCUGAAAUAUAAACAUAAGACGAGAAGACCCUGUGGAGCUUUAAAUUUUUAUCAGAGCCUGUAUAAAAUAAGCCCAUGGUAAAGAAUUUUUAGUUGGGGCGACUUUGGAGUAAAAUAUAGCCUCCAAGAAAAGGCACCGCCUAAACACGGCCCACAAGCCAAAACUAUGCGACCCAGUACCACUGAUCAACGAACCAAGUUACCCCAGGGAUAACAGCGCUAUCUUCUUCAAGAGUCCAUAUCGACAAGAAGGUUUACGACCUCGAUGUUGGAUCAGGACACCCAAAUGGUGUAGCCGCUAUUAAAGGUUCGUUUGUUCAACGAUUAACAGU
RNAcentral lists this ribosomal RNA (442 nucleotides) under Anolis morazani. RNAcentral's name for it is "partial 16S ribosomal RNA". It matches the Rfam family "Bacterial large subunit ribosomal RNA", at positions 1951 to 2594 of the family's 2925-position model. The record is from RNAcentral. Lineage: Eukaryota; Metazoa; Chordata; Lepidosauria; Squamata; Anolidae.